AUCCAGCUGACGAGUCCCAAAUUGGACGAAACGCUCAUCGUGUAU
Molecule: non-coding RNA, 45 nt
Filed under: Schistosoma curassoni
Lineage: Eukaryota; Metazoa; Platyhelminthes; Trematoda; Strigeidida; Schistosomatidae
Source: RNAcentral